Long non-coding RNA from Bos taurus (domestic cattle), 2200 nucleotides. The record is from Ensembl. NCBI's taxonomy places the organism in Eukaryota, Metazoa, Chordata, Mammalia, Artiodactyla, Bovidae.
AAUGCUGAAGCCUCAGGAGAGAUGAGUGAACCCACAGAAGAGGAGGGAAGGGAGCCAGCAGGGAGGGAAGAGGAAGGAGGCUUGGGCACCCUCUGCCGCAAAGCUUCGACAGAGCAGGGGCAGCGUGGUCGGAAGACAGAGCGAAGCUGGUGCGGAAGGGACAGCAGGGUCUCGACACAACCAGUGAAAACGUACUGGUGAUCAGAGUAUGUCUGUUCUAGACGGAGUUCAUUGCUGAGCGAUUCCUUGGGUGGUCUCACCUUGGAGUCUUCAACUGCUGUCCAGUUUCAAACACCUAAUCUGUGACUAAAGAAAAAAUGAUGAAGAGAAAGGAGUCAAUCUGGGUGACCAGCUGGUGUCUGAACACAGGUGCAUCGGAAGCACUCCUGUGACCUCAGCGCCUCUCCCUGGAUACGCCCACCCCAGGCAAUUCCAAGCCUCCACCGGAGACCUCAAGGCAGCCCCAGCAGCACAGGAGAACUGAAGGAUUGGAGGCCUUGGCUUUCAUGCCCCUGGGAUGGGGCAAUUCUGGGGCACACCCCAGACAUUCACCACAAUAAUCUGCUUAUUAAUGACCUUCUCUUCCCUGUGUCUCCUCCCUGUGACGCCAUCAACAACUCCGGGGCCACCUCCCAAACAAACUGGCUGCUCAGAGUUAGCUGCAGAGUUAUUUGUGACAGAGAGAAAAAGCUAUAAUUUCCUACUGAUGAACCAAGAAGGGUGUUGUUAAGAAACAGUGCCUGCUAUUUUCUUCAAGGACUGUUUUGUUUUUUUUUAACCCAAAGCUUUUAAUUUUAAAAAAAGCUUAUUUUUAAUUGGAGGAUAAUUGCUUUACACUACUGUUGGCUUCUGCCGUGCAACAGCGCGAAUGAGCCUUGAGUGUACACGCUCCCUCCCUGUUGGACCUCCCCCAGCCUCACACCGCUCUGUGUCUGCAGGGCAGCCUCCCGCUGGCUGUCUCCUUUACACAUGGAGGUGUGUGUCUGUCAGCACUGUUCUCACAAUUCAGCUCACCCUCUCCUUCGCCUGCUGUGUCCGCAGUCUGCUGUCUAUGUGUGUGUCUCUACUCCUGCCCUUCAAAUAGCUUCAUCAGUACCAGCUAUUUUUUGAUUGGCUUUUGUAGCAUUUUCACUGUCACUCAAAACCAUGUGAAUGUAUGAAAGUGAAAGCGAAGUCGCUCAGUCGUGUCCGACUCUGUGCGACCCCAUGGACUGUAGCCCACCAGGCUCCUCCGUCCAUGGGAUUUUCCAGGCAAGAGUACUGGAGGGGGUUGCCAUUUCCUUCUCCAGGGGAUCUCCCCGACCCAGGGAUUGAACCUGGGUCUCCCGUAUUGUAGGCAGAUGCUUUACCAUCUGAGCCACCAAGAAUAUAUAAAACAUAAACAUAUUUUAAAAAUCCAAUUAACUGACCAAAAAGUAUUCAAGAAGUUAAAUGUUAGAGUUCUCAGUGCUUCUCCAGGUGGCCUUGAGGGACCCCAUGGUCUGGGAGAUGAAGCCACUUUUGUGUGGCAAAAAAAAAAAAAAAAUCCCUGCUUCAAACUUAUGGGGAAAACUGACGCACAUAAGUUGAGCAAAACUUAAGUAUAUGACUCAGUGAAUUUUACACACACACAUCCCCCUGGAUCCAACUACCAGAUCAACACACAGAUCCUUUCUGGCAUUCCCGACCCUCAGAGGCCUCAGCUCUGACCCCUGCUGCCUCAGUGAGCAUCGUCUGUUCUCACACCUGGUGUCUCUGGGCUCGUCCUCGGUGGGCAGUCUGGGGCCUGGUUUCCUCCCCGUUCGUCACAUCGUGUACGUCAGCCGUCUCUCCUCUUUGCUGCUGUAGAUUAUCCCAGGGUCAACAACAGCACAGGCAUCCUCUCUCUCCUAUUCUUCAUGCUAUGAGAUUGCUUUUAAUUUGGGGAUGCUAUCAAAAGGCCGCUAAGAGUACUGUCCAUGUGCCACGGUGGACACACGCACACACACUCAUCUCGGGUGCCACCGUGCAUGGAGCCAGUGCGUUACCCACAGACGUGGUUUUGGUCUUCAGUAGCCUCUCCAAGUGGUCUUCCAAGUGGCUCGUACCAACUUACACUCUUACCAACAAACAACGUGAGUUCCCUACCCCACCUCCUUGCUAAGACUCGGUUCUGUUGGUGUUUUUAAUUUCAGCCAUUUCUUUGAGUAUAUAGAACAUUUCUUUGAUAAAUAGUGAUAAG